This is a small nucleolar RNA of Neodiprion virginianus, 214 nucleotides long. RefSeq annotates it as small nucleolar RNA U3. The transcript has a single exon. Lineage: Eukaryota; Metazoa; Arthropoda; Insecta; Hymenoptera; Diprionidae. The record is from RefSeq and is a predicted model, not a curated record.
AAGAUCAUACUUCACAGGAUCAUUUCUGUAGUAUAUCUUCACAAUCUCUCUACUCAACAGUGGAGUUGAUGCAGCCACGAUGAGGAGUAAGAACUCUUCUCUCUGAGCGUGAGAACGAUCUGUUGUACGGCCAGUCCGUGCAAUCGGUCAUCGAUGAUCGUUCACCUGAAGCACUACGUGCAACAGGAAUGGGAGAAUGAGUAUUCUGAGUGGU